CGAACACGUGCCCCGCCCCAUGACCUCCCACGGGUUCCCGGGGUGGUGGUACCCCCUCGUUCCACAGGGGUGGGGAGGCGGUCAGGGAAAGGGCUGGGGAUGCCGCCCCGACCCCGGGAAAACGGGCGCUUCCGCUCAUUCUUUGCGCGUCCCGCCCCUUUCCUGCUCCUUCCCAGCUGUGAUGAGGGUCCUCACGAGACCCCCCCUUCCUCCCCGCGACAGGCGGAGCCCGCACCUCCGCAGGAAGUAGGGGCCUGCAGAGGCCACGCUGAGUCCGAGGCCGAGUCUCCUGCCUCUGCCCUGUCAUUAGCGCGGGGCCAAUGAGGCUGAGACUGCCAAGACUGGAACCCACUGGGGCAGCUGUACCUGGCGACCAGGGAGGGCUUGCCCCAGCCCUGGGACCCAGUCACGGGAAGGGGGCCUCAGAGACCCGAUUGGUGCUGGACACACACCCCCGCCACCCCCAGGGAGCCCCGCGCGAACUCAUUCCAUGAUGUCCCUGUCGGUGCGGCCGC
RNAcentral lists this long non-coding RNA (515 nucleotides) under Rattus norvegicus (Norway rat). RNAcentral's name for it is "long non-coding RNA NONRATT014208". The record is from RNAcentral. Lineage: Eukaryota; Metazoa; Chordata; Mammalia; Rodentia; Muridae.